AGCAGGAACAACUAAACAGAACAGAACCAGACUGGAAAAGACAUGACAAUAAAACAGAAAAUGGCACUAGAAAUGGCAAUGAGUCCAGAGUAGUGACAUUGUGAUUCAGUAAAGCGUAAAAACAAAAAAACAAUUUGAACUUUCAGAUUUCAAACUAAAAAAAUUAAAUAAAAGGUACAAGGACCCUCUUCAAGCAAAAUCCACUCAAAAUCCACUUUUUAGACAUUUUGGAACGUUCCUAUGACUCUAUGGGUCACAUAUACACACACUGAGCACGGUAGAAAUGCAUUUCCUGCUUUUUUCACAUUUUGAAAACGUAAAUUUUCUCACCCAAUGAAAACAGACCACGACCUACUCUGAGGCCGUGUCCCAGUUGUCGUCACCUUGGUCGGAAGUUCUCCCUGCAAAUCCUGAACCACCACCCCCACAAUGAUCCCGAACCAAAACUGGACUUCCGCCAUUUCCCCCCUCUCACUCACCGUGAACAGACCAGCACGGCAGCGCCCAAGUCCUCCCAUAGAAAUAGUUCGGUUCUUGGGUGUUCUAACCAACACCAAAGUCUAUACACUUUAACAAGGGAUCAACAAGUGAGGAUUUGUGGGUCACUUUUAUUUUUAACGGACCGGUGCCAGAAACACUGCCUCAGCAUUUAUACUUAUGUGCAUUUCAAACGAGGGUGCGUACAAUGCUGGAUUUGUUUCACGGCUCCUGUUGGAAAAAAAGGAUCUAUUUCUAAAGUCCGUCAUCCACUCACUGAAGUAAGUACAUGCUUGAUAUUUAUAAUGUUUUAAAAUGUUAGUUUGUCCGUUUAAAUGUAGUAACCUAUGUGUGGGGCAAGUUACUAGCUAGCUAUGCUAACGGCUACAGCCAGUCGACCGAGCCUUUGUCCCCUUCAAAUGUGCUCAUGUUGGCUCCUGCAGCCACACCUGUGUGGAGAAAAGCUAAUGUUUAUCGUAUCGGCAUCGAGCGACCACAGCCAGGGAGUGGUGGGUCUAGCUCGCUGUAGUAAGUACGUGCUUGAUACUUACUAUGUUUGUUGGUCUGUUUAAAAUGUAGUAACCCACAUGUGAGACAAGCUAAUGCUAUCGGCAUCGAGCGGCUACAGGCAGGGAGCGGUGGGUCUAGCCUCUGUCCUUUUUCUGUAAUCGCAUACACCUGCGGGGAACAGCUGAUCGUUAUCGCCCUUCCAGCGGCGACAAGCAGGAAGCGGUGGAUCUAGCUCGCUGUAGUAAGUUUGUGCUUGAUACUUGUGAUAUUUUUGUCCUGUUGACGUGCUGCCGCUCCUGUUUGUGUUGCGUUAGCCGUUAGCAUGCCUUUAGGCCUUUGCACUUUAGAGCUACAGCUGGUCGAUCGCUACAAAAAGAACCUGCAGAUGAACGCGGUUAUGUUUGUUAUUACCCCGUCCUGUGUCACAGCCUAAAUCAACUUGUGAUUUGGGGUUAUGUCAUUGUUCUAUCAAAUUCUAACAUGAUUAGUUGGAAUGAUUACUGUGUUGUGUUGCAAGCUUAGUUGCUAAUUAGUCACAUCUCUACAAUAACUGCUGCUUAUCUGGUCAGUAACCUAUAGCUUGUACCAUAGCCAUUAUAUUUGUAGGACCAAUACAAUUUACAGUAAAUGUAACAGUCUUUUCUAUACUGUAGGAGGGCAAAUCCCAGUUACCUACAUGCAAGGAGGCUGUCAAACAGAGAAAUCACUGCAGACUGUUGGUACACAGGCAUCUGCUGCCCAGCUCAGGAGUGAAGUACCUUUUUGUUUUGAUGAGGUGUUGGUGAGGACAGCCACAGCUUCCAUCUGGUAGAGGACUGCUUCCGCUCAGUCUUCCAAAUAGUGAUGAGAACAAGGAUCACCACAUCUCCCUGUUUACCCUACUUUCAUGCAUUUCGUCUGCAGGGCCCUGCAAAAGCUUCUGACCUCAAACCCCCAGACUUCUUAAUUAACUCAGUAACCUAUACAUUGCACAUUGGAGUGUGAAGGUAACAGUUUAUUCUAGCUUUGGAGUAGUGGUGCAUUUUUUUGGUUUACAAUAAAGUUGGCUUUAACUAUUA
Molecule: long non-coding RNA, 2045 nt
Organism: Betta splendens (Siamese fighting fish)
Lineage: Eukaryota; Metazoa; Chordata; Actinopteri; Anabantiformes; Osphronemidae
Exons: 2
Source: RefSeq, a predicted model, not a curated record